AUGGAAGGAUUUAGAGAUACUGUUGAUUACUGUCGCUUCACUGAUUUGGGCUUCUCUGGUCUCCCAUAUACAUGGGAUAACCGACAGCAAGGACAAAACAAUGUAAAAGUUCGCCUAGAUAGAGGACUAGCUGAUGACAAGUUUUUAGAUCUAUUUGAUGACACUUCGGUGCGGCACAUUCAGACCUCUGUGUCUGAUCAUUGCGCACUUGUAUUAACGACUAAUAGAUCAGCUUGGUUACGAAAUAAAGGACGAAACAAACCGUUUCGCUUCAAAAAUGCCUGGACUCGCCACGAGAGGUAUGAACAAGUGGUGGAAGAAGGAUGGCAGCCGCAAGCUAAUGAUCUGGCCGGCGUUUAUGAUGCGCUGAAUGGUGUGCGACGUAGUCUGCAGAAAUGGAGCCGGGAGGAGUUUGGUUCGGUGGAGAAACAACUUAAAAUGAUGAGAGAAAAAUUGGAAAGGCUAAGAGCAGUCUCUUUAGGAACUGGGCCAACUCUAGCUGAACGAGACCUUCUCAAACGCAUAUCGGAGUUGCUGGCCAGAGAGGAGGCUCUCAAGAAGCAACGGUCCAGGGUUUUGUGGCUGCAGGAAGGUGAUAGGAACACUGAGUUCUUCCAUGCUAAGAUGAAAGAAAGAUCACGUACAAAUAAAAUUAAGUCAUUGCGGAAGCCAGAUGGUACGGUUGCGACUGAGCAACACGAGUUGGAAGCAAUUGCUAUGAAUUUUUACAUAGAUCUGUUUACGACACAGCAAGAGACUCAUCCGGAGCUAGCAACAGAGUUGGUUCAGUGUAAAGUUUCACAAGAAAUGAAUAAAAAGCUGUGUUCUGUUAUCACAAAUGAGGAGAUUGAAAGAGCUCUUUUCAUGAUGCAUCCAAACAAGUCCCCAGGUCUAGAUGGUUUUACAGCAGGUUUUUACAUUCACCAUUGGCAUCUUUUGAAAGAUGUUGUUUGCAAUGCUGUGCGUACUUUUCUUGAAGGCGGUGAUAUGCCGGAGGUGGUUAAUUCUACUGUUUUGGUCCUUAUUCCAAAAAUAAAAAUCCGCAAGAUCUUACACAGUACAGGCCAAUCUCAUUGUGUAACGUGCUCUAUAAACUAG
RNAcentral lists this ribosomal RNA (1098 nucleotides) under Triticum aestivum (bread wheat). RNAcentral describes it as "partial small subunit ribosomal RNA". The record is from RNAcentral. Lineage: Eukaryota; Viridiplantae; Streptophyta; Magnoliopsida; Poales; Poaceae.